Molecule: long non-coding RNA, 4784 nt
Filed under: Salmo salar (Atlantic salmon)
Lineage: Eukaryota; Metazoa; Chordata; Actinopteri; Salmoniformes; Salmonidae
Description: lncRNA (ENSSSAG00000084764.1)
Source: RNAcentral
CACUGUCCUGUGCCGAAGUGUGUUGUUCGUUUAAUGUGCUGAACCUUGUAGAAGAAGAAUUGUUUAGUUCCGAAAUGGUGAAAGUCACUCUGUGGAGAUGCAGACGUUAUCAAACUCCAUCCUUCUUGCUAUAAUUUUGUAGAAGCAUUGUCUUUUUACUAAUUUCAGUCACUAUUACUGUACCUACCUUCAACACAACAGUAGCUGUACCGGUUCUAUCGAUCUGCUAAGCUUAAGAAGGGGACUCUUUUGCGAGGGUAGAAUAAAUAGACAGGAUUGUGUCGAGGCACAGAUCUGGGAAAGGGUACUAAAACAUUUCUGCAGCAUUGAAGGUCCCCAAGAACACAGUGACCUCCAUCGUUCUUAAAUGGAAAAAGUUUGGAACCACCAAGGCUCUUCCUAGAGCUGGCCACCCGGCCAAACUGAGCAAUCAGGGGAGAAGGGCCUUGUUUAGGGAGGUGACCAAGAACACGAUGGUCACUCUGACAGUGCUCUAGAGUUUCUCUGUGGAGAUGGGAGAAACUUCCAGAAGGACAACCAUCUCUGCAGCACUCCACCAAUCAGGCCUUUAUGGUAGAGUGGCAAGACAGAAUCCACUCCUCAGUAAAACGCACAUGUUUUGAGUUUGAGUUUGCCAAAAGGCACCUAAAGGACUCUCAGACAAUGAGAAACAAGAUUCUCUGGUCUGAUGAAACCAAGAUUGAACUUUGGCCUGAAUGCCAAGCAUCAGGUCUGGAGGAAACCUGGCACCAUCUCUUCGGUGAAGCAUGGUGGUGGCAGAAUCAUGCUGUGGGGAUGUUUUUUAGUGGCAGGCACUGGAAGACUAUAAUCAGGAUCGGAGCAAAGUACAGAGAGAUCCUUGAUGAAAACCUGUUCUAAAGCGCUCAGGACCUCAGACUGGGGCGAAGGUUCACCUUACAACAGGACAACGACCCUAAGCACACAGCCAAGACAAUGCAGGAGUGGCUUAAGGACAAGUCUCUGAAUGCCCAUGAGUGACCCAGCCAAAGUCCGGACUUGAACCCAAUCAAACAUCUCUGGAGAGACCUGAAAAUAGCUGUGCACCAACGCUCCCCAUCCAACCUGACAGAGCUUGAGAGGAUCUGCGGAGAAGAAUGGGAGAAACUCCCCAAAUACAGUGCAACAACAAAAAAAGUGUCACCUUUUUGGGCCCUCAGCAGUUUGCAUCCCUGACUGCUUCUUGACACAGUGCCAGCUUGACUCAGAAGCCAGCCGGAGGAAACACCUGGCGACCAUGUCAGCGUGCAUUGCGCCCAGCCCGCCACAGGAGUCGCUAGUGCACGAUGCGACAGUAACAUCCCGGCCGGCCAAACCCUCCCCUAACCCGGACAACACUGGGCCAAUUGUGCGCCGCCCUACGGGUCUCCCGGUCGCGGGCGGCUGCGACAGAGCCUGGACUCAAACCAGGUUCUCUAGUGGCACACCUAGCACUACGAUGCAGUGCCUUAGACCACUGCGCCACUCGGGAAGCCCUGAAAGAAAAAAAAAAAAAACAUUACUCAAUUUUAGAAUAAGGCUGUAACGUAACAAAAUGUGGAAAAAGUCAAGGGGUCUGAAUACUUUUCAAAGACACUGUAAGCUGCUGUAUAUACAGGGUCACUCAACCGUGUGGGAGUCAAAACCAUCAGUUUAGAAUUUCCUGUCAUGUACUGAGGAAAUGUAACAGUUUAGGGGGAGGAGUGGGGGAAGAGGGAGUAGUAGGGGAGGAGAGAGUGGGUGGGGGAGGAGUGGAGGUCAAUCUGGUUGUAUUGAAAUAGGAUCACCGCCUGGUAUGGCAACUGCUCGGCAUCCGACCGCAAGGUGCUACAGAGGGUUGUGCGUACUGCCCAAUACGUCACUUGGGCCAAGUUUCCUGCAAUCCAGGACCUACAGUGGCUUGCGAAAAUAUUCACACCCCUUGGCAUUUUUCAUAUUUUGUUGCCUUACAACCUGGAAUUAAAAUUAGAUUUUUGGGGGUUUGUAUCUUUUGAUUUACACAACAUGUCUACCACUUUGAAGAUGCAAAAUAAUUUUUAUUGUGAAAUAAACAAGAAAUAAGACAAAAAAACCCGGAAAACUUGAGCAUGCAUAACUAUUCACCCUCCCCAAAAGUCAAUACUUUGUAGAGCCACCUUUUGCAGCAAUUGCAGCUGCAAGUCUCUUGGGGUAUGUGAACCCAAAGCAUUGAGGUUAGCCUACAUCAUCCUCAGUAAAUACAGAAGUACCUGGAGUGUGAACCCAAAGCAUUGAGGUUAGCCUACAUCAUCCUCAGCAAAUACAUUAAGUGUAAUGGUCUGCAUAUCCAAUCAAACGUCACUAAUGGAUAAUAAAUUAUAAUCUAUAGAUCAUUUUACCACUCCCCUUCUCCCCUCCUUGGAAAACUCAGAUUGCCCUUGGUGUAUUCCAGUGGAGGCUGCUGAGGAGAGGACUGCUUAUAAUAAUGGCUGGAACGGAGCAAACCAUGUGUUUGAUGUAUUUGAUACAAUUCCGCUCCAGUUAUUACCACGAGCGCGUCCUCCCAAAUGAAGAUGCCACCAACCUCCUGUGGUGUAUUCCACAUCAGUUCUGUCAUUGUCAUUCUCACCAACGGCAUGAGCAUGUAGGGUCAACAUUUACCACCAAGUCAUUGGAUCUCUGUACGUACUUGAUGUUAUGAAACAACAAGCAAAUGGAAGAGUUGAGGGUUGGGACUGUGAGGCUGAGCUGAUUCUUUCUGUGGUACUCUCUACAUAUGAUCAUAGCUGCACAGAAUCUCUGUCUCCCCACUGUAAUUUCUGGUGUACAACAGGGAAAAUAACGAUGGCUUUCUGUCACGCCCUGACCUUAGAGAGCCUUUUUUAUUCUCUAUUUUGUUAGGUCAGGGUGUGACUUGGGUGGGCAAAUCUAUGUUUAUAUUUCUUUGUUGGCCUAGUAUGGUUCCCAAUCAGAGGCAGCUGUUUAUCGUUGUCUCUGAUUGGGGAUCAUACUUAGGCAGCCCUUUUUCCCACCUGUGAUUGUGGGAUCUUGUUUUUGUAUAGCUGCUGUGAAGCCUGCAGAACGUUACAUUCGGUUUUGUGUUUUGUUGGUGUUCAUCUAAUAAUAGAAAAAUGUACGCUUACCACGCUGCACCUUGGUCUCAUUCCGACAACGGACGUAACACUUUCUCUCUCCCCUCCCCACCCCUGCCCUACCCUCUCCUUCCUCUGUUUUAGCUGAAGGCCUGUCUGCCCUUACAAAAUAAACACGUCAAAUUUGUAGUUUGACAUGUGAAAAUCGUAUUUUCACAAUUUUGAGCUUACAUUUCAAAUGUGAAACCAUAUUUUCAUCUGUAUUAAAUGUGGAGUUAACACCACCUUUUCACAUGUAAGAAGAAAAACGUGUUUUCACCUCACGUGAAUUGUACGGUUUCACAUGUUAAAAACUCUCACGUAAGAAAACGUCACGUGAAAAUUUCACUUUCACAUAUGGAAUUGCAUUUUCACAUGUAGAAAACAAUCAUGUAAAAAUCACAUUUGCAGAAAACUCCUCGUGAAAAAUCUAUCUUUCACAUGUGGAAUUGCAAGUUCACAUGUGGUGGUGAAAUAGUGCUAUACUCCUCACAUGUGAAAAAGGUGGUGUUAACAUGUUUACACAUGGAAAUGCCAAUUCUGUGAAAAGGUCAUUUAUUAUUCUCAGGCUAAAUCAAUCACUAAUUUCUGAGCCAUCCAUUCAGAGUGUUACUGCUGCAGGUGCGCGCCUCUCUUCAUACGUUGGUCAGUGACAGUCGGAAGAAGCCCAGUGAAAAGAACAGAGAAGCUAGAGCUCCAUGUCUCCUUAUUUAUCCUGUUUAACAUGUUCAAAUUAGCGAGGUCAGAGUUCAUCAUGCUAACUCAAGUUAACAUUUUGUAAUUGUAGUGCACAAUUUUUUUUAUUUAAUGGCAUUGUAUGAAAGCGUUCAAAAUACACUCAAAACAUCCAACAUACAUUAUCUAUACAGCUAAAAACAAUGCAAUGUCAAUGGAGGCUAUAUGUAGUCUUUUCACAUUCCUGACCUUUGAUCUUUGUGACUGUGCAGUCUGAUGCUUGUUGUGUGUCUGAUCUGUAUAAUGAGUGAAGGUCUUUUUCAUUUAUUUUUUUUAUGUUGUCUGUCUGUUUGUCUAUUUUUGUAUCUUUAGGUUAUUUGUUUGUUUCUAUUGUUUUUGUUUUCUGGUAUGAUUUAUGUGUAUUUUUCUUACUCUCUAAAAGCCACAAAACAACAGCAAAAAACAAGUUGAUUUUGAGGUUUUAUGUAACUAGGCAAGUCAGUUAAGAACAAAUUCUUAUUUACAAUGACGGCCUACACCAGGCAAAAACCAGACGACGCUGGGCCAAUUGUGUGCCGCUAUAUGGGACUCCCAAUCACGGCCGGAUGUGAAGCGCCACACGGGUCUAAGACACUGCAUCUCAGUGCAAGAAGCGUCAUUUAUUUAUCCAUUUUUGUGUAAAAAAAAAUAAAAAAUCGUACAUAACAGCUCAAUUUGAGCAAAUUAUGAAAUUGCCAUUAAUCACGAUUGCUCAUAGCAAAUCUUGCAAUAAACUCGAUGUAUUGUUUUGAAUAAUGAAUAAACAGCCCUAGUUGACAUUAAACCGUGAAAGUAUAGCGGUCAUUUAUCGGUCAUGGUUGCUCAUGGUCACGUGAUGAGGUAGCCCCUCCUGUGACUACAAAGUUAGUGUUGUCCCUAUUGGUCAAGACGGGUUGUAAUCCCGCCAGUUACAAAAGCACAUAUGUAAAACUUAUAUCCGGUUGUGUAAAGUACUUAAGAAAGUACUACUUAAGUAGUUUUUUG